GGAUGUGAGGGUGAUCUGACUGCGACAUCUGUCACCCCAUUGAUCGCCAGGGUUGAUUCAGCUGAUCUGGCUGGCUAGGCGGGUGUCCCCUUCCUCCAUCGCCACUCCAUGUGUGUCCCUCCUGGAGCUGCACACUCGGCAGAAGAGGAGGACCAGUCUUUGGUCAAGGGUACACGAAUAGCUGUCUCCCCUGCUAGAACCUCCAAACACGCUUCAAAGAAACAAGCCAAGCUAAGGCCGGCUUUCAUAACUAAGAAUAAGCCUCCAUGUAAGAUUUAUUUGG
RNAcentral lists this small nuclear RNA (283 nucleotides) under Microtus ochrogaster (prairie vole). RNAcentral describes it as "7SK RNA (ENSMOCG00000003660.1)". It matches the Rfam family "7SK RNA". Rfam says of the family: 7SK was discovered as an abundant small nuclear RNA in the mid-70s but a possible function has only recently been suggested. Lineage: Eukaryota; Metazoa; Chordata; Mammalia; Rodentia; Cricetidae. The record is from Rfam by way of RNAcentral.